GUCCAUUCGGAUCUGUUUCAAAAUAAAUUCUCAACACAAGAUGCCUUUGUCUCCACAUGGUCAACUUCACCUCUCGUUAUAACCUUUUCUGCUCUUAGCUUUCCUCUCAACACAUCUCUCCCACACUUCCAUGGCUCUCCAUGAUGAAACCACUAACCAAAACACUUCCCAAACCCAUCUCACCACCGCCUUCCGGCGGCCUACUCAUCGAAGAAUCUGGCUGCGUAGGCGUAGACUACCUUUGGUGCGCCUAGGUGGAAAGAAGCCUCGUCGAGAAUUCUUUAUGAGAAUGCUAAGAAAGAUGAGACUAAGGUGGCUGAAAUUGCAUUACUCAUGCAUGUUAAGGAGGCUUAAGGUAUAUUAUAGGAAUUUGAUUAAGGAUCUUGUUGAAGCUGGAGCUACCAUAGAGGCUUAUCAACAAAGGCUUGUAAUGGAGGCUAGUUUUGCUGUUCCUGUUAUGGGUAUUUCUGGCUAUCCUUCCAUGGUUGGAUCAGACCGUACUCGAUCCAUUUUCAUUUAGAAGUUUUUAUUUUUCAUAAUCUACCGUUUUAUUUCUUGUUGUCUUCUAUCUAGUUGUCAAUUAUAAGAAGCUGAAACAAAAAUGUGAAUUAAAUAAAUAAAA
Molecule: unclassified non-coding RNA, 622 nt
Filed under: Hevea brasiliensis (rubber tree)
Lineage: Eukaryota; Viridiplantae; Streptophyta; Magnoliopsida; Malpighiales; Euphorbiaceae
Source: RNAcentral